This 434-nucleotide ribosomal RNA is filed under the name uncultured bacterium. Its description in RNAcentral is "bacterial SSU rRNA". It matches the Rfam family "Bacterial small subunit ribosomal RNA", at positions 28 to 492 of the family's 1533-position model. The record is from RNAcentral.
GAUGAACGCUGGCGGCGUGCCUAACACAUGCAAGUCGAGCGAUUCUCUUCGGAGAAGAGCGGCGGACGGGUGAGUAACGCGUGGGUAACCUGCCCUGUACACACGGAUAACAUACCGAAAGGUAUGCUAAUACGAGAUGAUAUAUAAAAGUUGCAUGACUUUUAUAUCAAAGCUUUUGCGGUACAGGAUGGACCCGCGUCUGAUUAGCUAGUUGGUAAGGUAACGGCUUACCAAGGCGACGAUCAGUAGCCGACCUGAGAGGGUGAUCGGCCACACUGGAACUGAGACACGGUCCAGACUCCUACGGGAGGCAGCAGUGGGGAAUAUUGCACAAUGGGCGAAAGCCUGAUGCAGCAACGCCGCGUGAGCGAUGAAGGCCUUCGGGUCGUAAAGCUCUGUCCUCAAGGAAGAUAAUGACGGUACUGAGAGAAGCC